Molecule: ribosomal RNA, 123 nt
Organism: Oryza brachyantha (malo sina)
Lineage: Eukaryota; Viridiplantae; Streptophyta; Magnoliopsida; Poales; Poaceae
Source: RefSeq, a predicted model, not a curated record
GGAUGCGAUCAGACCAGCACUAAAUAAGCACCGGAUCCCAUCAAGAACUCAGAAGUUAAGCGUGCUUGGGCGAGAGUAGUACUAGGAUGGGUGACCUCCUGGGAAGUCCUCGUGUUGCAUCCC